This 3816-nucleotide long non-coding RNA is filed under the name Marmota monax (woodchuck). The record is from RNAcentral. Lineage: Eukaryota; Metazoa; Chordata; Mammalia; Rodentia; Sciuridae.
UUUGAACUGGCUUUUACUUGAUUGUAAGCUGCUGAUAAGACAAUGCUCAUUUAAAAGUUAAAUUUUGUAUAUCACUAGUUUUAUUUGAAAUUAGAUUUACAUUCUGCACUUAGGUCAGCCAACACAUGUUCCCCCUUACCUCCUCCCUUAAUACAGAUACUUCUCAAAAUUAUCAAACUUUUUCCCAAUUGAUGGUUUGGCAUUCAAGGUCUUAGAGUAGCCAGCACCUGGUAGUCUUAUUGCCUUCAGAUUAUUUGCCUUUGUAAUUUACUCUUAAGGCAGGUGAUAUUCAUUUUUGUUGCUGUGGAAACCUUUUUCAUUACCACAAAUCUUUGCAUAUGUACAUACUCAAUACCACAGAAUCUCAAAUUUGAACAUAAGAUAAGGAUGUGUCUUUUGGAUGUGGUGUAACUGUGAUUCUAAUUUCUCAUGUAUAGUCUUGAGUAGAGCUCUUUAACUUUGCUCAACCAAAGCAGCAUAUACAAAACAAGAGAAUAUGGGAAUAUUUAUGAUCUGCCACACUUUAUUAUGCUCGUAUUUAUUUAUUGCCUUUCCACGUUCUAUGCCUCUGCUUCUAACAGAGUGCAAGACAGGCAUUUUAUGAAUAAUGUUAGGGUUUAAAUCUGGAAUGUCCCUUCAAAGUCUCAUGUCACAAUCUGCAUAGUCCCCAAUGCAGCAAUGUUCAGAGGUAUGGUUUUAGGAAAAUGAUUGGAUCAUGAGGGCUCUGACCUCAUCAGUGGAUUAAUCCAUGGACUACUGGUAGGUAAGACCUUUAUGGAGGAAGGAAGUCACUGGGGGCAUGCCCUGGAAAGGUUUGUCAUCUCUGUAGCUGGCCUCUUCCUCUUGAUUUCUCUGCUUCCUGGCUGUCACAGCUGAGCAACUUUUCUUUGCCAUGCCCUUCCAUCAUGAUGUUCUGCCUCACGUAGGGCUCAGAGCAAUGGAGUUGACUGUGGACUCAGAUCUCUGAAAUGGUGAGCUGAAAUAAUCUUAAGUCCUAAGUUGUUCUUGUCAGGUAUUUUGCUCACAGCUAUGCAAAGCUGGCUAACAGAUCAAACUAGGUUUAUUCAGGUGGACAUUUUUAAUAUGAAUACAAAUGUUAGCUGAGAUCAUUUUAGAUAUCCUAUUGUUUGACUACCUUAUCUUGGUUUAAAAUGGGUGAGACUUGUGAACGUGGUGUGUGUGUUGUAAAUCCAACCACUGAUACCUAAUGAUUAUUUAAUAAUUGGAUUCCUAGCUUUAAUGAAUAAAGAGCUAGAAUAAAAGAAUCCCCCCAAAUAGUAAAAUGCCAAAAGUAAAAGGAUUUGAAGGUGAGCUCAGAGUUUGCCUUGGAAAACUCCCCAAGUGAAGAACAGUAAAGUUGAAGAACUGCUCAGUGUCUUUAAUAUCUGCCUUGUCUCAUUUCUCUGAAUUGUGUGAUAUAGUUUACUGAACACUGAUUUAAUAAUCAAAAAUCUUAAUUAUGGAUUGGUACUUAACUAUUUUCUCUGUCAGUCUGUGCACUGACUUUAUUCAUUAGUGGCACAGGGCCCAAGUAGCUAUCUGAAAUCCUUAUUUGCCAUUCUUUUAUUAUUAUUCCUUAGUUCUGAAGGUGUCUUUAUUUGGUUACUUUUACUGAUUGAGGUCCCGUGGUCCUGUUAGGAUAAUAUGGAGUAUUUAAAUCUAGAACAGUGAAAUAUAUUUUUUUUUUUUUUAAUAGAAAAAGGACAGGUGGUUAGAGUAACAGGAAAUCUCAAAAUAGAGGCCCUUGUUCUUUUACUCUAAGAGCUCAGAAACUUAGUAUUUUUCAGUGGUAUAAAUAUUAGUCAUGAGGAUGAGUAUACAAAAUGGGAAGCUUGGUCAGGAGUGGUUAUUCCUCUAAAAAAUAAGGUAGUUCAGAUCAUCAUUCCCUGUGAGCUGGUAGACAUCUUUCACCUCAGCCUGGGACAGGAAGAACUACAUAGAGCUGUGAAAUGAUAAAAACCAUUGAGGUUUGAGGGUGUGACCGGAAGGUCUGAAGGUGUGAUCACAAGCUGUGUGCAAAGCUUCUAGCUAACUGUAUCACCAGAAAGGAAUGAGUAAAAUAUGUGUUUUCCUAAAUUAAAACAAAAACAAAAACAAAAACAAAAGCUUUUGCAGCAAAGCAGCCAGAAAAUAAAUGAAUACAUAUUUAUGUUUAUAUGUAUAUGUUUUAUGCAAAAGUGAAUUUAAAAGACAAAGUUCUAGAGCCAAUUUUUCAUCUUUGUUUUAUUAAUUUUGUUAUAAUACAGUUUAGUACUUCCAGUUUUGUGCUGCUUUGAUCAAAGACUCAUGUUAGGAAUUUUAAUCAGUUCUCUCUGAAGUUACUUCUAAAGUUAAUUGUCUUCUCAUUAAAAAAAAAAAUUGCCUUUUUCAGAAAUUUAGAGCUUAGUAAGAAAAAGUUUAGAGGAGCAGUUACACAAUGUAGCUUUCUAAUCACUUGUAUCAUUCUGUUCUAAAACUGAAAAAAAUCUAGAUUUUAUGGUCAUUUACUCAACAUUUAUCUUUUUGCUGAUCAAGCACACUGGUAGGCAUCAUGCCUCUUAUUUGUGCUGCUGUUACAAUAGUGAAUAAGACAGAUAUGGUACUCACCUUUGUGGACUUAAUAUUAGAAGAGGCAAUAUGUAAGAAGUAUAAGAAAAAGUGCUCUGACUUCUUUAGCCUCCAUCCUGAGGACUCUCCACCCAUCACUGGCUAUGUGGAUGUAAAUUAAAAUGGGCAAAAAACCUUAAUGUCGCCAAUAUCUUUAUGGGGCAAUAUAAUAUAAAUUUCUUGAUCUGAAGCCAUAGAAUGGUUUUUCUAAAGCAGUAGUGACAUACUGCUGUAUGUUUUACAGUUCCUAAAUUAUGUGCUGUCCUUACCUUGUUCUUCCAAAUACUUGCAUUCCAAGUUUGAUGUGGUUGGAUAAAGAGUGUGCAUUGGUUUAUUUUAUGUUACUGUAGCAGAACACCUGAGAGUGGGUAAGAAUUUUAUUCUGGCUCACGGUUUUGGAGGCCGGGAAAUUUAAGAUCAGGUGGUCUCAUCUGGUAAGGGCCUCAUGAUGUUUCAACUCAUGGCAGAAAGUGAGGACAAUUGGAGUGCAUGGAAGACAGAACACCAGGAGUGAACUUGUUUUCAAACAACCUGCUGUGACAGUAACUAGUCUUGCCAGAGAGGCAUGAAUUAUUCAUGAGGCUCCAUCCCAUAACCCAAAAGCCUCCCACUGCUUUCUUCAUCCCAAUACUAGUGUACUGGGGUCCAAGUUUCAAUAUGAGUUUUCGUGGGGACAAACCAUAUUCGAACCACAACAGUCUAUUAGCAUUUCUGGGUUGCAGUGCUGGUAUUUCCACUUUAUAGAAAUUAGGAGAGGAAACCAACAAACCAAACAAAAAAUCCCAUCUUUUUUUGAAGUCCAAGAAAUCCCAUCUGCAGUACUAAUUUCAUUUUAUUCUUCCAAGGCUAUGAAAUGGCAAAACUCAUAUAAAACAUGAACAAACUGAGUUUUGAAGAUUCAGUGAUUUAUUCAAAUUUUUAUGACUAGGAAGAAUUUGAAUCUUGGAAUCCAAGUAAUAAUAAUAUUUAGAAUUCAGUGAGCACCUCCUCUAUAUAUACUAGGUUAUAGUCAAGCACUUAUAUGCCUUAGUUCUGACAGCAACCUUGGAGGGCAAAUAUUACUACCAUUUUACUGUGUUGAAUCUGAGGCCUAGAGAGCUAAGAGACUUGAACUAAGAGAACUAGAGAACACAAGAGAGCUAGAACUGGUAUUCAAACACAUUUUCCUGAUUCCUAAAUUCAUGCUUUGUUGCAGUCCAUUCUGAAUUCAUAGUCUAUCCAUGUCCUAUA